UACGUAGGGUGCGAGCGUUGUCCGGAAUUAUUUGGGCGUAAAGGGCUCGUAGGCGGUCUGUCGCGUCGGGAGUGGAAAACUCAGGGCUUAACCCUGAGCCUGCUUCCGAUACGGGGCAGACUAGAGGUAUGCAGGGGAGAACGGAAAGUUCCUGGUGUAGUGGUGGAAUGCGUAGAUAUCGGGAGGAACACCAGUGGCGAAGGCGGUUGCCUGGGG
This 216-nucleotide ribosomal RNA is filed under the name uncultured bacterium. RNAcentral describes it as "partial 16S ribosomal RNA". It matches the Rfam family "Bacterial small subunit ribosomal RNA", at positions 524 to 734 of the family's 1533-position model. The record is from RNAcentral.